This is a long non-coding RNA of Chinchilla lanigera (long-tailed chinchilla), 322 nucleotides long. RefSeq lists it as uncharacterized. The transcript has 3 exons. NCBI's taxonomy places the organism in Eukaryota, Metazoa, Chordata, Mammalia, Rodentia, Chinchillidae. The record is from RefSeq and is a predicted model, not a curated record.
CAACAGUGCGCAGUGCCUGGAGCUGCGUCCGCCCUGAACCCUCGUCUGCAAGUCCCAGCCAGACGUUUCUCGUUGGUGGGCGCUGUGCUGCUGAGCUAAAUCCCCAGCCUGAUGAAGACUUUUCAUAUCCCAUGUUUGUGGAUGAUUUUCUUUAUGAGUAGUAUUUAAGCCAGUAUCUUGAUUCCUGUUUAUGGAAAUAAGGACAAGAGCGGUUCUUCCCCGCGUCCCUCACUGUUGCUACCUUUCACCUGGUGUGACACUGAUGGUGGAGAAACCUGGCUCUAACCUGGGGCACUUGUGGACAAGCAACUGCAGAGUGAUG